AGGACGAACGCUGGCGGCGUGCUUAACACAUGCAAGUCGAACGAGGCCCUGCCUUCGGGUGGGUGUUCUAGUGGCGAACGGGUGAGUAACACGUGGGCAACCUGCCCCCGGCUCUGGGAUAACUCCAAGAAAUUGGGGCUAAUACCGGAUAUGACCGCUGACCGCAUGGUCUGGUGGUGGAAAGUUUUUUCGGCUGGGGAUGGGCCCGCGGCCUAUCAGCUUGUUGGUGGGGUAGUGGCCUACCAAGGCGACGACGGGUAGCCGGCCUGAGAGGGUGACCGGCCGACACUGGGACUGAGACACGGCCCAGACUCCUACGGGAGGUAGCAGUGGGGAUAUUGCGCAAUGGGCGGAAGCCUGACGCAGCGACGCCGCGUGGGGGAUGACGGCCGUUCGGUUGUAAACCGUCUUUCAGUAGGGACGAAGCGUGAGUGACGGUACCUACAGAAGAGACGACCGACCAACUACGUGCCAGCAGCCGC
This 482-nucleotide ribosomal RNA is filed under the name uncultured soil bacterium. Its description in RNAcentral is "bacterial SSU rRNA". It matches the Rfam family "Bacterial small subunit ribosomal RNA", at positions 26 to 518 of the family's 1533-position model. The record is from RNAcentral.